This 445-nucleotide ribosomal RNA is filed under the name Vibrio parahaemolyticus. RNAcentral's name for it is "bacterial SSU rRNA". It matches the Rfam family "Bacterial small subunit ribosomal RNA", at positions 86 to 527 of the family's 1533-position model. Lineage: Bacteria; Pseudomonadati; Pseudomonadota; Gammaproteobacteria; Vibrionales; Vibrionaceae. The record is from RNAcentral.
CGGCGUCGAGCGGCGGACGGGUGAGUAAUGCCUAGGAAAUUGCCCUGAUGUGGGGGAUAACCAUUGGAAACGAUGGCUAAUACCGCAUGAUGCCUACGGGCCAAAGAGGGGGACCUUCGGGCCUCUCGCGUCAGGAUAUGCCUAGGUGGGAUUAGCUAGUUGGUGAGGUAAGGGCUCACCAAGGCGACGAUCCCUAGCUGGUCUGAGAGGAUGAUCAGCCACACUGGAACUGAGACACGGUCCAGACUCCUACGGGAGGCAGCAGUGGGGAAUAUUGCACAAUGGGCGCAAGCCUGAUGCAGCCAUGCCGCGUGUGUGAAGAAGGCCUUCGGGUUGUAAAGCACUUUCAGUCGUGAGGAAGGUAGUGUAGUUAAUAGCUGCAUUAUUUGACGUUAGCGACAGAAGAAGCACCGGCUAACUCCGUGCCAGCAGCCGCGGUAAUACG